UACGGAGGGUGCUAGCGUUGAUCGGAAUCACUGGGCGUAAAGGGCACGCAGGCGGGCAUUUAAGUCAGAUGUGAAAUCCCAGGGCUCAACCCGGGAACUGCAUUUGAAACUGCUAGUCUUGAGUAGUGUAGAGGGGGGUGGAAUUGCGAGUGUAGCGGUGAAAUGCGUAGAGAUUAGGAGGAAUACCGGUGGCGAAGGCGGC
Molecule: ribosomal RNA, 202 nt
Filed under: uncultured bacterium
Lineage: Bacteria
Description: partial 16S ribosomal RNA
Rfam family: Bacterial small subunit ribosomal RNA
Source: RNAcentral